This 28-nucleotide non-coding RNA is filed under the name Mus musculus (house mouse). Lineage: Eukaryota; Metazoa; Chordata; Mammalia; Rodentia; Muridae. The record is from RNAcentral.
UGCACCACACCCUGUACAGAGUAUCACC